This 1233-nucleotide ribosomal RNA is filed under the name metagenome. RNAcentral describes it as "bacterial LSU rRNA". It matches the Rfam family "Bacterial large subunit ribosomal RNA", at positions 1564 to 2808 of the family's 2925-position model. The record is from RNAcentral.
UGAUGACGAGACGCUAAGGCGUUGAAGCAGUGUAUGUCAGACUUCCAAGAAAAGCUCGCAAUGUCACAAAUAAAAAUGCCUGUACCAUAACCGACACAGGUGGGUAGGUAGAGUAUACUAAGGGGCGCGAGAUAACUCUCUCUAAGGAACUCGGCAAAAUGACUCCGUAACUUCGGGAGAAGGAGUGCCUUAUUUAUAAGGUUGCAAUAACAAGAUCCAAGCAACUGUUUAUCAAAAACACAGGUCUCCGCUAAGUCGUAAGACGAUGUAUGGGGGCUGACGCCUGCCCAGUGCCAGAAGGUUAAAGAAGUUGGUUAGUGUAUGCGAAGCUGAUGACUGAAGCCCUGGUGAACGGCGGCCGUAACUAUAACGGUCCUAAGGUAGCGAAAUUCCUUGUCGGGUAAGUUCCGACCCGCACGAAAGGCGUAAUGAUUUGGAUACUGUCUCGGAGAGAGGCUCGGUGAAAUAGACUUGUCUGUGAAGAUGCGGACUACCUGCACCAGGACAGAAAGACCCUAUGAAGCUUUACUGUAACUUGAAAUUGGAAUUGGACUUUGCUUGCGCAGUAUAGGUGGGAAGCGUUGAAAAUAUUCUUGCGGGAGUAUUGGAGCUAUCAGUGAGAUACCACUCUUGUAAUGUUAGAUUUCUAACUUUGAACCAUAAUCUGGUCAAAGAACAGUUUCAGGUGGGCAGUUUGACUGGGGCGGUCGCCUCCCAAAUGGUAACGGAGGCGUACAAAGGUUUCCUCUGAACGGAUAGAAAUCGUAUCUAGAGUGUAAAGGCAUAAGGAAGCUUGACUGUGAGACCUACAAGUCGAGCAGGGACGAAAGUCGGUCUUAGUGAUCUGACGGUACUGAGUGGAAAGGCCGUCACUCAACGGAUAAAAGUUACUCUAGGAUAACAGGCUGAUCUCCCCCAAGAGUUCACAUCGACGGGGAGGUUUGGCACCUCGAUGUCGGCUCAUCGCAUCCUGGGGCGGUAGUACGUCCCAAGGGUUGGGCUGUUCGCCCAUGAAAGCGGUACGCGAGCUGGGUUCAGAACGUCGUGAGACAGUUCGGUCCAUAUCCGGUGUAGGCGCUAGAAUAUUGAGAGGAGCCUUCUUUAGUACGAGAGGACCGAGAAGGACACACCGCUGGUGUACCAGUUAUCGUGCCAACGGUAAACGCUGGGUAGCUAUGUGUGGAGUGGAUAACCGCUGAAAGCAUCUAAGUGGGAAGCCCACCUCGAGAUGAG